AAACGUGAGAACCUAUGCUUUGUUGGUUGAAUGCUUUACCAAGUAUUGUGUGGUCCGUGAAGCUAUCAGACAUUUCCGUGGUCUAAAGAACUUUGAAGGCGGAACACAAGUGCUAUAUAAUGAUGGGAAGUACGGGGAUCCACUUUCAUUGUAUCUUCGUGCUCUAUGUAGAGAAGGGAGGAUUGUUGAGUUGUUGGAAGCACUUGAAGCUAUGGCUAAAGAUAACCAGCCAAUCCCACCAAGAGCAAUGAUCUUAAGCAGAAAAUAUCGUACAUUAGUUAGUUCAUGGAUUGAACCUUUGCAGGAAGAAGCUGAACUUGGAUAUGAGAUAGAUUACAUAGCCAGGUAUGUUGCUGAAGGUGGACUCACAGGUGACCGCAAACGAUGGGUCCCAAGAAGGGGAAAAACUCCUUUAGAUCCUGAUGCCCAAGGGUUUAUAUAUUCCAAUCCUAGGGAAACCUCUUUUAAACAAAGAUGUUUUGAAGAGUGGAGGUUGCACCACAGGAAGCUUUUGAAAACCUUACUCAAU
This 529-nucleotide unclassified non-coding RNA is filed under the name Hevea brasiliensis (rubber tree). Lineage: Eukaryota; Viridiplantae; Streptophyta; Magnoliopsida; Malpighiales; Euphorbiaceae. The record is from RNAcentral.